CAAUUUUUCCUAAAAAAUUCCUCAUUUUGCCACUUUGGAUGCUUAUAACUCGGUCAGUUUCCAAUGGAUCUUCAAUUGUAACACAGAUUUGGAAAGAUCUGCUCAUCAGCUACCAAAAGUUAUUCUACGCCGAUGUGCUAAGUUGUCUGUGGAAAAAGUUAUUCGAGGUACAAAGACUUAAAAUUUUCUCAAUUUUUCCUAAAAAAUUCCUCAUUUUGCCACUUUGGAUGCUUAUAACUCGGUCAGUUUCCAAUGGAUCUUCAAUUGUAACACAGAUUUGGAAAGAUCUGCUCAUCAGCUACCAAAAGUUAUUCUACGCCGAUGUGCUAAGUUGUCUGUGGAAAAAGUUAUUGGAGGUACAAAGACUUAACUUUUUCUCAAUUUUUCUAAAAAAAUUCCUCAUUUUGCCACUUUGGAUGCUUAUAACUCGGUCAGUUUCCAAUGGAUCUUCAAUUGUAGCACAUAUUUGGAUAGAUCUGGUCAUUAGCUACCAAAAGUUAUUCUACGCCGAUGUGCUAAGUUGUCUGUGGAAAAAGUUAUUCGAGGUACAAAGACUUAACAUUUUCUCAACUUUUCCAAAAAAAUUCCUCAUUUUGCCACUUUGGAUGCUUAUAACUCGGUCAGUUUCCAAUGGAUCUUCAAUUGUAGCACAUAUUUGGAUAGAUCUGGUCAUUAGCUACCAAAAGUUAUUCUACGCCGAUGUGCUAAGUUGUCUGUGGAAAAAGUUAUUCGAGGUACAAAGACUUAACAUUUUCUCAAUUUUUCUAAAAAAAUUCCUCAUUUUGCCACUUUGGAUGCUUAUAACUCGGUCAGUUUCCAAUGGAUCUUCAAUUGUAGCACAUAUUUGGAUAGAUCUGGUCAUUAGCUACCAAAAGUUAUUCUACGCCGAUGUGCUAAGUUGUCUGUGGAAAAAGUUAUUCGAGGUACAAAGACUUAACAUUUUCUCAACUUUUCCAAAAAAAUUCCUCAUUUUGCCACUUUGGAUGCUUAUAACUCGGUCAGUUUCCAAUGGAUCUUCAAUUGUAGCACAUAUUUGGAAAGAUCUGCUCAUCAGCUACCAAAAGUUAUUCUACGCCGAUGUGCUAAGUUGUCUGUGGAAAAAGUUAUUCGAGGUACAAAGACUUAACAUUUUCUCAACUUUUCCAAAAAAAUUCCUCAUUUUGCCACUUUGGAUGCUUAUAACUCGGUCAGUUUCCAAUGGAUCUUCAAUUGUAGCACAUAUUUGGAUAGAUCUGGUCAUUAGCUACCAAAAGUUAUUCUACGCCGAUGUGCUAAGUUGUCUGUGGAAAAAGUUAUUCGAGGUACAAAGACUUAACAUUUUCUCAACUUUCCAAAAAAAAAUCCUCAUUUUGCCACUUUGGAUGCUUAUAACUCGGUCAGUUUCCAAUGGAUCUUCAAUUGUAGCACAUAUUUGGAUAGAUCUGGUCAUUAGCUACCAAAAGUUAUUCUACGCCGAUGUGCUAAGUUGUCUGUGGAAAAAGUUAUUCGAGGUACAAAGACUUAACAUUUUCUCAACUUUUCCAAAAAAAUUCCUCAUUUUGCCACUUUGGAUGCUUAUAACUCGGUCAGUUUCCAAUGGAUCUUCAAUUGUACCACAUAUUUGGAUAGAUCUGGUCAUUAGCUACCAAAAGUUAUUCUACGCCGAUGUGCUAAGUUGUCUGUGGAAAAAGUUAUUCGAGGUACAAAGACUUAAAAUUUUCUCAAUUUUUCCAAAAAAAUUCCUCAUUUUGCCACUUUGGAUGCUUAUAACUCGGUCAGUUUCCAAUGGAUCUUGAAUUGUAGCACAUAUUUGGAUAGAUCUGGUCAUUAGCUACCAAAAGUUAUUCUACGUCGAUGUGCUAAGUUGUCUGUGGAAAAAGUUAUUCGAGGUACAAAGACUUAACAUUUUCUCAACUUUCCAAAAAAAAAUCCUCAUUUUGCCACUUUGGAUGCUUAUAACUCGGUCAGUUUCCAAUGGAUCUUCAAUUGUAGCACAUAUUUGGAUAGAUCUGGUCAUUAGCUACCAAAAGUUAUUCUACGCCGAUGUGCUAAGUUGUCUGUGGAAAAAGUUAUUUGAGGUACAAAGACUUAACAUUUUCUCAACUUUUCCAAAAAAAUUCCUCAUUUUGCCAUUUUGGAUGCUUAUAACUCGGACAGUUUCCAAUGGAUCUUCAAUUGUAGCACAUAUUUGGAUAGAUCUGGUCAUUAGCUACCAAAAGUUAUUCUACGCCGAUGUGCUAAGUUGUCUGUGGAAAAAGUUAUUUGAGGUACAAAGACUUAACAUUUUCUCAAUUUUUCUAAAAAAAUUCCUCAUUUUGCCACUUUGGAUGCUUAUAACUCGGUCAGUUUCCAAUGGAUCUUCAAUUGUAGCACAUAUUUGGAUAGAUCUGGUCAUUAGCUACCAAAAGUUAUUCUACGCCGAUGUGCUAAGUUGUCUGUGGAAAAAGUUAUUCGAGGUACAAAGACUUAACAUUUUCUCAACUUUUCCAAAAAAAUUCCUCAUUUUGCCACUUUGGAUGCUUAUAACUCGGUCAGUUUCCAAUGGAUCUUCAAUUGUAGCACAUAUUUGAAUAGAUCUGGUCAUUAGCUACCAAAAGUUAUUCUACGCCGAUGUGCUAAGUUGUCUGUGGAAAAAGUUAUUCGAGGUACAAAGACUUAACAUUUUCUCAACUUUUCCAAAAAAAUUCCUCAUUUUGCCACUUUGGAUGCUUAUAACUCGGUCAGUUUUCAAUGGAUCUUCAAUUGUAGCACAUAUUUGGAUAGAUCUGGUCAUUAGCUACCAAAAGUUAUUCUACGCCGAUGUGCUAAGUUGUCUGUGGAAAAAGUUAUUCGAGGUACAAAGACUUAACAUUUUCUCAACUUUUCCAAAAAAUUCCUCAUUUUGCCACUUUGGAUGCUUAUAACUCGGUCAGUUUCCGAAGGAUCUUCAAUUGUAGCACAUAUUUGGAUAGAUCUGGUCAUUAGCUACCAAAAGUUAUUCUACGCCGAUGUGCUAAGUUGUCUGUGGAAAAAGUUAUUCGAGGUACAAAGACUUAACAUUUUCUCAACUUUUCCAAAAAAAUUCCUCAUUUUGCCACUUUGGAUGCUUAUAACUCGGUCAGUUUCCAAUGGAUCUUCAAUUGUAGCACAUAUUUGGAUAGAUCUGGUCAUUAGCUACCAAAAGUUAUUCUACGCCGAUGUGCUAAGUUGUCUGUGGAAAAAGUUAUUCGAGGUACAAAGACUUAACAUUUUCUCAACUUUUCCAAAAAAAAUUCCUCAUUUUGCCACUUUGGAUGCUUAUAACUCGGUCAGUUUCCAAUGGAUCUUCAAUUGUAGCACAUAUUUGGAUAGAUCUGGUCAUUAGCUACCAAAAGUUAUUCUACGCCGAUGUGCUAAGUUGUCUGUGGAAAAAGUUAUUCGAGGAACAAAGACUUAACAUUUUCUCAACUUUUCCAAAAAAAUUCCUCAUUUUGCCACUUUGGAUGCUUAUAACUCAGUCAGUUUCCAAUGGAUCUUCAAUUGUAGCACAUAUUUGGAUAGAUCUGGUCAUUAGCUACCAAAAGUUAUUCUACGCCGAUGUGCUAAGUUGUCUGUGGAAAAAGUUAUUCGAGGAACAAAGACUUAACAUUUUCUCAACUUUUCCAAAAAAAUUCCUCAUUUUGCCACUUUGGAUGCUUAUAACUCAGUCAGUUUCCAAUGGAUCUUCAAUUGUAGCACAUAUUUGGAUAGAUCUGGUCAUUAGCUACCAAAAGUUAUUCUACGCCGAUGUGCUAAGUUGUCUGUGGAAAAAGUUAUUCGAGGUACAAAGACUUAACAUUUUCUCAACUUUUCCAAAAAAAUUCCUCAUUUUGCCACUUUGGAUGCUUAUAACUCGGUCAGUUUCCAAUGGAUCUUCAAUUGUAGCACAUAUUUGGAUAGAUCUGGUCAUUAGCUACCAAAAGUUAUUCUACGCCGAUGUGCUAAGUUGUCUGUGGAAAAAGUUAUUCGAAGUACAAAGACUUAACAUUUUCUCAACUUUUCCAAAAAAAUUCCUCAUUUUGCCACUUUGGAUGCUUAUAACUCGGUCAGUUUCCAAUGGAUCUUCAAUUGUAGCACAUAUUUGGAUAGAUCUGGUCAUUAGCUACCAAAAGUUAUUCUACGCCGAUGUGCUAAGUUGUCUGUGGAAAAAGUUAUUCGAGGUACAAAGACUUAACAUUUUCUCAACUUUUCCAAAAAAUUCCUCAUUUUGCCACUUUGGAUGCUUAUAACUCGGUCAGUUUCCGAAGGAUCUUCAAUUGUAGCACAUAUUUGGAUAGAUCUGGUCAUUAGCUACCAAAAGUUAUUCUACGCCGAUGUGCUAAGUUGUCUGUGGAAAAAGUUAUUCGAGGUACAAAGACUUAACAUUUUCUCAACUUUUCCAAAAAAAUUCCUCAUUUUGCCACUUUGGAUGCUUAUAACUCGGUCAGUUUCCAAUGGAUCUUCAAUUGUAGCACAUAUUUGGAUAGAUCUGGUCAUUAGCUACCAAAAGUUAUUCUACGCCGAUGUGCUAAGUUGUCUGUGGAAAAAGUUAUUCGAGGUACAAAGACUUAACAUUUUCUCAACUUUUCCAAAAAAAUUCCUCAUUUUGCCACUUUGGAUGCUUAUAACUCGGUCAGUUUCCAAUGGAUCUUCAAUUGUAGCACAUAUUUGGAUAGAUCUGGUCAUUAGCUACCAAAAGUUAUUCUACGCCGAUGUGCUAAGUUGUCUGUGGAAAAAGUUAUUCGAGGUACAAAGACUUAACAUUUUCUCAACUUUUCCAAAAAAAAUUCCUCAUUUUGCCACUUUGGAUGCUUAUAACUCGGUCAGUUUCCAAUGGAUCUUCAAUUGUAGCACAUAUUUGGAUAGAUCUGGUCAUUAGCUACCAAAAGUUAUUCUACGCCGAUGUGCUAAGUUGUCUGUGGAAAAAGUUAUUCGAGGUACAAAGACUUAACAUUUUCUCAACUUUUCCAAAAAAAUUCCUCAUUUUGCCACUUUGGAUGCUUAUAACUCGGUCAGUUUCCAAUGGAUCUUCAAUUGUAGCACAUAUUUGGAUAGAUCUGGUCAUUAGCUACCAAAAGUUAUUCUACGCCGAUGUGCUAAGUUGUCUGUGGAAAAAGUUAUUCGAGGUACAAAGACUUAACAUUUUCUCAACUUUUCCAAAAAAAUUCCUCAUUUUGCCACUUUGGAUGCUUAUAACUCGGUCAGUUUCCAAUGGAUCUUCAAUUGUAGCACAUAUUUGGAUAGAUCUGGUCAUUAGCUACCAAAAGUUAUUCUACGCCGAUGUGCUAAGUUGUCUGUGGAAAAAGUUAUUCGAGGUACAAAGACUUAACAUUUUCUCAACUUUUCCAAAAAAAUUCCUCAUUUUGCCACUUUGGAUGCUUAUAACUCGGUCAGUUUCCAAUGGAUCUUCAAUUGUAGCACAUAUUUGGAUAGAUCUGGUCAUUAGCUACCAAAAGUUAUUCUACGCCGAUGUGCUAAGUUGUCUGUGGAAAAAGUUAUUUGAGGUACAAAGACUUAACAUUUUCUCAACUUUUCCAAAAAAAAUUCCUCAUUUUGCCACUUUGGAUGCUUAUAACUCGGUCAGUUUCCAAUGGAUCUUCAAUUGUAGCACAUAUUUGGAUAGAUCUGGUCAUUAGCUACCAAAAGUUAUUCUACGCCGAUGUGCUAAGUUGUCUGUGGAAAAUGUUAUUCGAGGUACAAAGACUUAACAUUUUCUCAACUUUUCCAAAAAAAAUUUCUCAUUUUGCAUCUUUGGAUGCUUAUAACUCGGUCAGUUUCCAAUGGAUCUUCAAUUGUAGCACAUAUUUGGAUAGAUCUGGUCAUUAGCUACCAAAAGUUAUUCUACGCCGAUGUGCUAAGUUGUCUGUGGAAAAAGUUAUUCGAGGUACAAAGACUUAACAUUUUCUCAACUUUUCCAAAAAAAUUCCUCAUUUUGCCACUUUGGAUGCUUAUAACUCGGUCAGUUUCCAAUGGAUCUUCAAUUGUAGCACAUAUUUGGAUAGAUCUGGUCAUUAGCUACCAAAAGUUAUUCUACGCCGAUGUGCUAAGUUGUCUGUGGAAAAAGUUAUUCGAGGUACAAAGACUUAACAUUUUCUCAACUUUUCCAAAAAAAUUCCUCAUUUUGCCACUUUGGAUCCUUAUAACUCGGUCAGUUUCCAAUGGAUCUUCAAUUGUAGCACAUAUUUGGAUAGAUCUGGUCAUUAGCUACCAAAAGUUAUUCUACGCCGAUGUGCUAAGUUGUCUGUGGAAAAAGUGAUUCGAGGUACAAAGACUUAACAUUUUCUCAAUUUUUCUAAAAAAAUUCCUCAUUUUGCCACUUUGGAUGCUUAUAACUCGGUCAGUUUCCAAUGGAUCUUCAAUUGUAGCACAUAUUUGGAAAGAUCU
Molecule: RNA transcript, 6339 nt
Organism: Anopheles funestus (African malaria mosquito)
Lineage: Eukaryota; Metazoa; Arthropoda; Insecta; Diptera; Culicidae
Exons: 3
Source: RefSeq, a predicted model, not a curated record